AGCAUGUGGUUAAUUCGAAGCAACGCGAAGAACCUUACCAGGCCUUGACAUGCUAGGAACCCGGUGAAAGCCUGGGGUGCCCCGGCGAGGGGAGCCCUAGCACAGGUGCUGCAUGGCCGUCGUCAGCUCGUGCCGUGAGGUGUUGGGUUAAGUCCCGCAACGAGCGCAACCCUCGUCCUAUGUUGCCAGCGGGUCAUGCCGGGGACUCAUGGGAGACUGCCGGGGUCAACUCGGAGGAAGUGGGGAUGACGUCAAAUCAUCAUGCCCCUUAUGUCUUGGGCUUCACGCAUGCUACAAUGGCCGGUACAAAGGGCUGCGAUACCGCGAGGUGGAGCGAAUCCCAGAAAGCCGGUCUCAGUUCGGAUUGGGGUCUGCAACUCGACCCCAUGAAGUCGGAGUCGCUAGUAAUCGCAGAUCAGCAACGCUGCGGUGAAUACGUUCCCGGGCCUU
RNAcentral lists this ribosomal RNA (450 nucleotides) under uncultured Cellulomonas sp. RNAcentral describes it as "bacterial SSU rRNA". It matches the Rfam family "Bacterial small subunit ribosomal RNA", at positions 936 to 1382 of the family's 1533-position model. The record is from RNAcentral. Lineage: Bacteria; Bacillati; Actinomycetota; Actinomycetes; Micrococcales; Cellulomonadaceae.